UUUUUUUAAAACUUAAAAAAAAUGAUUAUUGAAGUUCAAGAUAUUUAUUCUUGUUUAUACAAUACAUCACACAACUGUAUAAUCUAGAUGGGGGAUUCUAAAUUAUUAAGAGAUACAUUUCUCACACAUAUUAAUUAAACUUGAAAGUGCUUAUAUUUUGUUCUUCAAGUAGCCAUGGUCCUUAGACGUCUCUUGGGUAUGAUAUUCAAAGGCACAAGCUUUCUCAUUAACAUCCCAAUGCAUUCUCUCAUAUCUAAGGUUUCUGGAAUUGACCCUUUGACAAGCUCCCAAUCAAAACAUUGAAUUAAAGAUGCUAGACUAAGGAGAACUAUUCGUUGAGCCAACAACAUUCCUACACAAAUCCGCCUCCCUGAUCCAAAUGGAAUUAGCUCAAA
This 395-nucleotide unclassified non-coding RNA is filed under the name Hevea brasiliensis (rubber tree). The record is from RNAcentral. Lineage: Eukaryota; Viridiplantae; Streptophyta; Magnoliopsida; Malpighiales; Euphorbiaceae.